AGGUGACGGAGAGUGUAUAAUGUGUAAGUUGUUUACAACCGGAACGAAAAAAAUUUAGAACCUCACAUUGGAAUAGGUUAGGUAUGAGUUAUGUCUAAAAUGUAUUAUCUAGACACCGGAAUCAAACUAUAUAACGUUGUUAGACGGAGGCGACGAGAAGAUCUAAAUGAUACGUACUACAAUUAAGUUGAUUUAAAAACUUUUUUCCAAUCACUUGGUUGAAUACUAUAUAUUUACAUAAGAUUCCCAAGUACCAUUAUUGCAAUACUACGUGUUUAUUUGUAUUUUAAUUUCUAUCAAUUUUAGAGUCAGAUAACAGAUUACAUAUUUUUCAUACUUCAAUAUAACCGAGUACUAUGAUAAUUUUAUGGAUUACAUCACAUCUUUAUCUUGCAGAUUACAUUAUUUUGCAGAUUUUUACGAUAUUUACUAAUACUUUUAUUUAACUAAUACUCAAACCUGUUAAUUUAGUGUAUUUUGAGUUUAACAGUAUCGUUAUUCUCGCGUCCAUAAACGAUAUUAUAAUAUUAUAGUAUAUUCAUCUGAGUGCUUCCUUCAAAACAUAGUUGAACUCAAGAUGCAUACGGUUUUCCAUCAUGUUUGUCCCUAUUAAUAACCUUUUUUGAGUUGUUAGUAUUGUUCAAAAAUUAUUUAAAACAUUUUUUCUACGUUAGACUACGCGCGGUAUUAUAAUAUUAAUUAUUGCUAAUCAUAAUUUUUAGAUUUACCAACCUAUUAAGAUAUUACAAAAAAUGGCAUAUUAUUUAUUUUAUUUUAUUUCAAAGUUUUUGGAGUUAAAUGUCAUUAAAUUUCAUUAUAAUAUAUUCGAAAAGAAACUUUUAAUGUGUUAAAUUUUAGUCGGUAGACUGGUAUACGAUACAAAAUACAGUUAAACACCUUGCUCUUAACGACACAAUGUGGUGUAAUUUUACAUUGUUAACGAAGUAGUACCGGCGUGCAAAUGUCCACACAAUAAUAUUUGUUACGUGCAUUUUUUUUUAACGCGUGGAAAGUCCAUAACUUUAUUAAUUUAUUAGGAUUAAUAUAAAUACAAGUUCAAGGUAAAACCAUAUAAAUCAAUUAAUUUUGAAUUUCAAUAUUUCAAAAAUUAUAAUUAUUAAAAUACCUUAAAGUAAUUUUAUUUGAAUUAAUUUUUUUUUCGUCGUUGUUACAAAAUUACAUUAGGCACAUUCAACAUACGUGUUUACUCAACAACUGUACGUAGUAAUUUUGAAUUUCUGAAACUCCAUAAAUUUAUACUUAUAAUUUAUGCUAAUUAAAUAUUAUAUACGUAUAUAGUACCAAAAAAAAUCAUAAAAAUAUUUAGAUAUUUAAAUGUAAACAUGCAUAUUGCCCACGUCAUGGAUGAAUUUCAAUGAGUAUUAUUCUGAGACGGUUUUUUUUCUAGUAGAAGAAGUACCAACGUAUUUAAAAAAAUUAAAAUAUCACAUAAUAUAUAUUAUUCAAAUUCAAAUAUAUAUAAUUUAACAAUUCUAAUGUUAUGGGUACUUUUAAAACUACUAUAAGAAGACUAGAGGCCUUAACUUUAAAGAUAACACAAGCAAUUUCAAAACUUUUUAACGCUCCUAAAUACAAUGUUUACAUUUUCAUCAAUGCAUUUUUAUACUAUAGAAUUUUGUAAAUUAGAACAUAUAUCUAAUAUAAUUAUUGUUGAAAAAUUGUUUAGCACUAUGUGUAUAACGCAGAUAAUAUCUCAUCUUUUCGCAAUUUCCUAUUGGCAAUUCAUACUACUUACGAACAAAAAUCUGUUAUUAAAAUAUAUAAAACUCGUUUUAAAAAAAUACAAUUUUAACUGAUUAACUUAAGCUACGAUGAAUGAUGAAUUCAUUAUUUGUACGUAAAAAUAAUGCAACGUAAUAAAUAACAUUAGAUUUUUAUCGGGAAUCAGAAAAUUACGAUUCUAUAAUGUCGUAUAUAAACAUAUUUUAUUUUUAAACGCCAUUAAUGGCGCAUGUAACAUCAUUUAAAAUUUUAGCAAAAAAUAAAAUGGCGCAUUUCGUAUUCUAUAUUGUGACUUUAUUUUUAAAUGAAUGUUUAAUGAGUUUAUCUGUUCAAAACAAUGAUGUUCUGGUAAACAAAUAUAAUUUUCGUAUUUAUUUUUAUUUUUUAAAUAACAAAAUAAUUUUUUCUACCUGUACAAAGAGAGGUUGACAAAUGAAGUAUUGAACUAAACAUAUUAUAAUUAAUAGUCUGAUUUAACGUUAUAAAUUUUUACAAUAAAAUAUGUACAAAUUUAUUGACAUUUUGAUUUAACAUCAACUCUUGUGUUAAUCGGUGUCUUAGAAUAUAUAGUCGCGGAUUCAAUAAAAUAUCGGUCAACGUACGAUAUUGCUAUUUGAUCAUAAAAUAAAAGUGAAGAUGAUUUUGUUUAUGUUAUUAUCAUAGUUUAACGUGAUUUUAAUAUUCUCUGGAUUUCUAUUUAUAGUACAAACGCGGAGUAUAGUUUAAUCAACGUAAAGAAAUUUGUACAUUCAAGGACUACGUACGUCACGCAAUAAAGUUUAUGAUCAAGGUUCAACUCUACUACAAAACCACUAUAAACAGUGUUAACACUGUAAUAUUAUAAAUCCGCUCAUCAACAGGAGUAAUAUAAAAAGCACAAGGCAUACGCACUACACAUACAUACGCAUGCAGAUGACAAAUCGUCUCCGAUAAAAUUUAUUUACACGAAUUUCCUAGGAUUUUUAGUACCAGAAUACCCGUACGAAGUUCACGAAAAUUAAUGUAUAUACCAUUUUACGUCAUAGUUCUACUCAGAUAAUUAUUAUAUGGAAAUGUAUAUAAUUAGUAUAAUAACUAUAUAUUAUUAUCUUUAUACGCUUGCAACCGACUAAAUGUAAAACUACGUAUGACGUAUUUUCGGCGAAUUAUUAGGCGGAUGGAGACUUAAACGCAGUUUUAAAAGUAUUGUUGCUAACUAAACGAUUAAAUGUAUCUAUACAUAAGCAAUAUUAUCAACUAUAAAAAUUUAAUUUAUCCACUUGUCUUUGACAAAGUAUUGAAAUUGGUAUUUUUUCAAAUGCGAGAAAAUAAGUUUUCAUUUACCAAUAAUAUAGUAUUAUAUAGGUUGGAAUAAAAUAAAUAAAUUUGAAUAUUUAAAAAUUAUAAUACACUAUUAUCUAAAUUAGUAGGUAUAGAAAAUGUAUUUACUACUUAUUUCGGUCACAAACCAUUAUAAACUAACUGAAAUUUAGACAUGCCUGUAUAUAAUUUGAACAAAGCAUAGUUUGAUUAGUGAAAUUUUGUCCACGGUGAGCUAAAAAAUAAUAAUAAAUACCAACAAGAGGUAGGCUGUUAAUAAUUUCAACGCUACAAUAAGCACAAUAAUUCAUUUAAAACAAUUUACAAAAUAACUAAAUUAUCUCAUUUUGUUUUCAAACAUUUGUUGUGAAAUCGUUUUGAUAAUAGUCAAAAUUAUAAAUGCUUGUGACAGUAGUUUAAAUAAGAACAAUGGAUAGCCCAACAAUUUAAAUAUAAAUGUACCAAAUUAAAACCAUUAGAUAACGGGUGUAAUUUAAAAUAAAUAUUCUAAACUUGAUUUGCAUUGUUUUUAGGGACUACAAAUUUGUAAUAACGAUAAGGUUUUUGUUUUUAUUAGGAUCAAUUUAUAUAUAUAUUUAAAUUUAUGUAUCAAUAAGACAUAAAUAGAAUAAUAUAUUGUAUUCAUUUAAGGAAAAAGCUAAGAAUACGUUAUUAAAAAUAUCUUUUAAAAAAACCCGAUUUGUUCAUGACA
This is a long non-coding RNA of Rhopalosiphum padi (bird cherry-oat aphid), 3754 nucleotides long. RefSeq lists it as uncharacterized. The transcript has 3 exons. The record is from RefSeq and is a predicted model, not a curated record. NCBI's taxonomy places the organism in Eukaryota, Metazoa, Arthropoda, Insecta, Hemiptera, Aphididae.